Molecule: long non-coding RNA, 753 nt
Filed under: Lonchura striata (white-rumped munia)
Lineage: Eukaryota; Metazoa; Chordata; Aves; Passeriformes; Estrildidae
Description: domestica (Bengalese finch) lncRNA (ENSLSDG00000011262.1)
Source: RNAcentral
CUCACCGUCAGGUCCUGCCGCAGGGAUUUCAGCUGCUCGCAGGCCCAGGCGUAGUCGCGGUGCUGCUGCCAGUGCGAGCGCACCAGGGCCAGCGCCUGCCGCAGCACCUGCGGAUUUUGGGGCGUUUUGGGGCGUUUUGGGCCUUUUCGGAGCAUUUCGGGGGUUUCAAGGAGGAUUUUGGGGGUUUUGGGGUGGAUUUUGGGGGCUUUGGGGUGGAUUUUGGGGGUUUUGGGGUGGAUUUUGGGGGAUUUUUCUGUGGAUUUUGGGGGGUUUUUAUGUGGAUUUUGGGGGGUUCCGUGGCAGAUUUUGGGGUUUUUGGGGUGAUGUUUUUGGGGUGGAUUUUGGGGUGAAUUUCGGUGGUUUUGGGGUCACUCACCGGCACGGGUCUCACAGUACUGGGAUCAGGAUUAUUUCGUCAUAUUUUUGGUGGAUUUUGGGGUAUUUUGGGACGUUUUGGACACUCACCGGCACGGGUCACAUGGUACUGGGAUCAGGGAUAUUUUGGGGGUGGAUAUCAGAGUUUUUGGGAUAUUUUGGGAUGGAUUUUGGGAUAUUUUGGGACAUUUUGGCAUGUUUUUGUCUCACUCACCAGCACGGGUCUGACGGUGCUGGGAUUGGGGUUAUUUUGGCUCGCUCACCGGCACGGGUCUGACGGUGCUGGGAUCGGGGUUAUUUUUGGGUGGAUUUUGGGAUAUUUUGGCACGUUUUGGCUCGCUCACCGGCACGGGUCUGACGGUGCUGGGAUCGGGGUUA